GCCAAAAGAGGUGGAAAUGCGUCAUUGAAUCCAGCUCACCCAGGGUUGGGAAUGAAGAAGUGAAGACAGUGCUACCCUGAUCAACCGAGGGAAGAAGGAGGGUUCAGGAGGCCAAACCCUGCCCGUGGAGUUCCCCGGAACUCAUGAGGAAGAGCAGGCUAGAGAUCCCAUCAGAUCUGGAGCUGCUGGCCUACGCCACAGCCACAGCAACACCAGAUCCAAGCCGGUUCUGCGACCUACACCACAGCUCACAGCAACGCUGGAUCCUUAACCCACUGAGCGAGGCCAGGGACCGACCCCUCGUCCUCAGGGAAUGCUAGUCAGGUUCAUUACCGCUGAGCCAUGACGGGACCUCCUGCAUUUAGAUUUUUAGCGAACAUCUACUUCGCGCCUCACCUCAAGUCAGUUGCUGGGGAGAAGCAGAAAGGAGGCGUGGGCUGGGCUAGUGCGCAGGUGGACUCAGCCCACCCCUAGUGAGGCUCCCUGCCUGGACUUCUGGGAGAGGCUUGAAUGAGCCUUGAAGGAGAUACCUGACUAUCAAAGGAGGGGGCGAAACAGCAUCCCGAGCCAAGGAAAUGACAUUGUGAAAGCCUCCAAGAUGUUUGGGGUUCAUGACUCCUUGGCACAGUUAAGGCCUGGGGUCCACGGGACAGUCGGGGGAGAGAUGAAGUGAUGAGGCCGAAACCAGAGCAGCGGCUGACUGCACCUCAGGAGUCUGCGGGGGAAGGACUUUGUGGACGUGGCGAUUAUCUCAACUGUUUGUGGGGCAAUCACAGGAGCAUCUGGGGAGAAAACUGGCCCCAGAAGGAAAAGGGCUGCAGGCGGGAAGACCAGAAAGGAUGCUGUUCAGAUGGCCCAGGUGAAAGCCAGUGAGGGCCUAGACUGAGCAGACGUGGUGGGAUGGAGGGGCCCCAGGAGACAGCUCUGGAUUUGGCAGUUGCGGGGGAGGAGCUAGAACAUUGUGCUUUUACAAGAGUGGGUUAUUUAUCCAAAAACAAACAAAACAAAACAACAGCAACAACAGGGCAUUGCCGCAAGCUGUGGUGUAGGCUGCAGAUGUGGCUCGGAUCCAGCGUGGCUGUGGCUGUGCCGUAAGCCAGCAGCUGCAGCUCCGAUUCGAGCCCAGGAACUUCCAUAUGCCUCAGGUGGGGCCCUAGAAAAGGACAGAAAAAAAAAAAAA
Molecule: long non-coding RNA, 1180 nt
Filed under: Sus scrofa (pig)
Lineage: Eukaryota; Metazoa; Chordata; Mammalia; Artiodactyla; Suidae
Description: lncRNA (ENSSSCG00065078743.1)
Source: RNAcentral